GCAGUGAAAGAAGAGGGGCAGGGUCAGAGCCUGGAAGAUUCUGUUAGGCCAUGCCCACAUUGUUUGCAGUUCACUCAACUGUUUUUGACACGUUGUUUUUGUAAAUAAUGAUGCCAAGGGAAACAUUUGUGAGGGAAAGAGAUGAAAGAGGUGCUAAAGGAGUAAUAUUCCAGGACUUUGAAGAUCCAUGGAAAGUCAGUAGGAAGUCUUGCCUCUUGUUUGCCACUGCUGUCACUCCACUACCAUUCACCUGAAAAAUGUUACUACUCUAGUGAUUUACAAGACAGGUAAAAUGUGGAUUUAUUGUGUGCAUUGUAGCUCUGCUGUAAUCAUAGUUCUCUAGUAAAAGUGUGAGAUUACUUUGAUGCAUCACAGGACAACAUGACAGGCAAUAAUUUAUGUCAAAUGGCAUUAGAUGUAAGUGGUCAAAGGCAAAAUGUUGUGUCUGCUCUGUGUUUUGCUGUUUAGUUAGUACAUCCUAAGCAGGAUAUGCAAAUGUUUUUGCACACAUUUACAAAGCUAGAAAUAAGAUGGGGGAUUGGGAGUAGUCAUAUGACUUAGACCGGUGAGUAAAGGACUAAGAGGCAUCACUUGCUUCCAUAUCCCCUUAAAUAAAUCACAUGCUGCAGUAUGCCGACGAGCA
RNAcentral lists this long non-coding RNA (643 nucleotides) under Coturnix japonica (Japanese quail). RNAcentral describes it as "lncRNA (ENSCJPG00005011711.1)". The record is from RNAcentral. Lineage: Eukaryota; Metazoa; Chordata; Aves; Galliformes; Phasianidae.